This 899-nucleotide long non-coding RNA is filed under the name Gossypium barbadense (sea-island cotton). Its description in RNAcentral is "long non-coding RNA (GBAR_LNC013312)". Lineage: Eukaryota; Viridiplantae; Streptophyta; Magnoliopsida; Malvales; Malvaceae. The record is from RNAcentral.
AAGCAUUCCUGUACCCAUAUUUUCUUUGUUUCCCUCCUUACCGUCUUCGUUCUUAUUCAAUUAUUAUCUUCAUCAGGCUUUGACAUUGAGGCCCAAUGCAUUGAGCGGGAAUUGUAGCCAUAACAAUAGAGCAAAUGAGUUUAGCAGAUGAGGUCCCAUCAUCAGCCUUUGUAUUCCAUUAUAUAGUAGACCCCCCAGGGGGUGGCUGCAAGCUAGGAAGAAACUAGAAGCCAAGAGAGAGUGAUUAAAAGAAAAAAAGAGAGGAGAGAAGAAAAGGCAGGAGAGGAAGAGAUAAAGCCUAAAAGAGAGAGAGGAAAAUAGCAAGGAAGCAGCCACUACCAAAACAAAAAAGACAAGGAAGGAAGACGUUCAAGAAAGGAGAAAGGAGAAGGUAUGGAAUAUGUACUUUCUUACUUACCUUGUUUUACACGUGAUGGUCUUACUUUGCCGGUCAACAUGAUGUACUCACAAUUAGGGAUUCUGGGGUCUUAUAUAUUUUGGAUCUGGUAGUGCUGAUAUGGCCCUCGCUUGUUAUUUUGAUUUGGCAUGCAUGGUCAUAGUUUCUUUUCGGCAUGGAUGUAUAAAAGGAUGUGCCUUCUUCCUGCAAACCUACUUAGCUUAUUCGCCUUUGGUAUGAAAAUGUUUCUUGGUUUUUUUUUUAGGUUACGUUGCCUUCUACUUCCCUUUUCUUUUUGUUUUUAUGGAAGAAUCCUUUCUUUCAAACAUGGAAAAUGGGUAUUAUGUAUGGUGGCACGUGCUGUAACAUAUAUAGUCACAUUCUCUUGGAUUAUAGGGAUAACAGAAAUAAAUUUCUUCUGCCCCACAUUGUUAAAGUAUGGUGGCACGUUCUGUAACAAAUAUCCUUAAGUAUUGGAAAAUUAUAAUAACUUUUAUUUUGA